AUAUUGAAUUUUUUCUUGAAAAAGAAGGUGAUGUAUGUAAUGACAUAUCUUGCAUGUUCAAAACUUUUUGUUGCAGAAAGUUGUUGAGGUCUGCUGUGCGUUCGUAGUUAAUUAUUAUAAAAAAAUAAUUACUAAACCAAAACUUAAAAUUAACAAACUCGGUAAAAUAGAGAGAAUAGUGAUCAUUUAAAUAAAAUGCCAUCAAAUUACAGAACAUGAUCUCUGAUCACAUACAGACAUAGAGGAACUGGUUGUACCAAAUCUUCUUGCAGGUAUGAUCCGAGUGAUGGACUAAAACAAAACUGUGUAUUUAGUUUGUGGAGGAGUAGAGUCAGAUAAAAUGAAAGACUACACUUUAUUGAAAAAACUAAAGGCCUAUAAAUAGGCAAUACAUCAACUAACAAACUAAUAAAAUAGCAACCACUUUUACCACUAAGAACAUUCUAAUAAAGCAGUAAACACUGAGCUAAAACGUGGCUUCAACAAGAGCCACAACAAACUCCUAAAUAAAAGACACUCCUAAAUAGUAGGUGUUGUGAAAUCAAGCUCACACAAAUACACUAAGAUAAAUACAAACACACUACUGUAUGAGAUAAAAAAAUAAUAACACAAGAAUUUUACGUGGAAACCCAACUGGGAAAAACCACGGGAAAAGAUCUCAGAAAAUCACUAUGAAAAUAAUAUGGAGAUUACAAACUCUCAACUGAGAAAUAAACUAACUGUUUAUUUCUCUCUACACCCUCACUUUCUGAAUGCUCUAACUGAGCUUCUCACUCUCUAACUCUCUUUGACACUCAAACUAGAGCUUUGCUCUUCUUCUCUCUAAG
Molecule: long non-coding RNA, 827 nt
Filed under: Panax ginseng (ginseng)
Lineage: Eukaryota; Viridiplantae; Streptophyta; Magnoliopsida; Apiales; Araliaceae
Description: long non-coding RNA (PGIN_LNC014059)
Source: RNAcentral